Molecule: transfer RNA, 87 nt
Filed under: Clostridia bacterium
Lineage: Bacteria; Bacillati; Bacillota; Clostridia
Also listed under: 1 other name
Description: tRNA-Leu
Rfam family: tRNA
About the family: Transfer RNA (tRNA) molecules are approximately 80 nucleotides in length. Their secondary structure includes four short double-helical elements and three loops (D, anti-codon, and T loops).
Source: RNAcentral
GCAGGUGUGGUGGAAUUGGUAGACGCGAUAGACUCAAAAUCUAUUAUAGGAAACUAUGUGUGGGUUCGAGUCCCACCACCUGCACCA